RNAcentral lists this ribosomal RNA (424 nucleotides) under uncultured archaeon. RNAcentral describes it as "bacterial SSU rRNA". It matches the Rfam family "Archaeal small subunit ribosomal RNA", at positions 575 to 997 of the family's 1478-position model. The record is from RNAcentral.
CGGGGGAUACUGCCAGACUGGAACCGGGAGAGGUAAGAGGUACUACAGGGGUAGGAGUGAGAUCUUGUAAUCCCUGUGGGACCACCUGUGGCGAAGGCGUCUUACCAGAACGGGUUCGACGGUGAGGGACGAAAGCUGGGGGCACGAACCGGAUUAGAUACCCGGGUAGUCCCAGCCGUAAACGAUGCUCGCUAGGUGUCCAGGCAUGGCGCGACCGUGUCUGGUGCCGCAGGGAAGCCGUGAAGCGAGCCACCUGGGAAGUACGGCCGCAAGGCUGAAACUUAAAGGAAUUGGCGGGGGAGCACAACAACGGGUGGAGCCCUGCGGUUUAAUUGGACUCAACGCCGGACAACUCACCGGGGGCGACAGCAAUAUGUAGGCCAAGCUGAAGACUUUGCCUGAAUCGCUGAGAAGAGGUGCAUGG